GCAGGGACAGGUGACACAGAACAGGAACAGGUGACACAGAGCAGGGACAGGUGACACAGAAUGGGAACAGGUGACACGGAGCAGCUGCCACCAGCAGCUCCACCUGUCCCCCCGGUGUCACCUGCGCGGGACCCCCGAUGUGGGGCUCUGGCUGACCUGGUGUCCCCUGUCUGUCCCCUUGUCUGUCCCCUCUGUCCCCCUGUCUGUCCCUGUCCCCCUGUCCCUGGUGUGUCCCAUGUCCCUCCUGUCCCCUGUGUCCCCC
Molecule: long non-coding RNA, 262 nt
Organism: Poecile atricapillus (Black-capped chickadee)
Lineage: Eukaryota; Metazoa; Chordata; Aves; Passeriformes; Paridae
Exons: 3
Source: RefSeq, a predicted model, not a curated record